Molecule: ribosomal RNA, 490 nt
Filed under: uncultured bacterium
Lineage: Bacteria
Description: partial 16S ribosomal RNA
Rfam family: Bacterial small subunit ribosomal RNA
Source: RNAcentral
AUUGAACGCUGGCGGCAGGCCUAACACAUGCAAGUCGAACGGUAACAGGGAUCAGCUUGCUGAUUCGCUGACGAGUGGCGGACGGGUGAGUAAUGUCUGGGAAACUGCCUGAUGGAGGGGGAUAACUACUGGAAACGGUAGCUAAUACCGCAUAACGUCGCAAGACCAAAGAGGGGGACCUUCGGGCCUCUUGCCAUCGGAUGUGCCCAGAUGGGAUUAGCUAGUAGGUGGGGUAACGGCUCACCUAGGCGACGAUCCCUAGCUGGUCUGAGAGGAUGACCAGCCACACUGGAACUGAGACACGGUCCAGACUCCUACGGGAGGCAGCAGUGGGGAAUAUUGCACAAUGGGCGAAAGCCUGAUGCAGCCAUGCCGCGUGUAUGAAGAAGGCCUUCGGGUUGUAAAGUACUUUCAGCGGGGAGGAAGGGAGUAAAGUUAAUACCUUGGCUCAUUGACGUUACCCGCAGAAGAAGCACCGGCUAACUCCGUG